Molecule: ribosomal RNA, 477 nt
Filed under: Shigella sonnei
Lineage: Bacteria; Pseudomonadati; Pseudomonadota; Gammaproteobacteria; Enterobacterales; Enterobacteriaceae
Description: partial 23S ribosomal RNA
Rfam family: Bacterial large subunit ribosomal RNA
Source: RNAcentral
UUUGAAGUGUGGACGCCAGUCUGCAUGGAGCCGGCCUUGAAAUACCACCCUUUAAUGUUUGAUGUUCUAACGUGGACCCGUGAUCCGGGUUGCGGACAGUGUCUGGUGGGUAGUUUGACUGGGGCGGUCUCCUCCUAAAGAGUAACGGAGGAGCACGAAGGUUGGCUAAUCCUGGUCGGACAUCAGGAGGUUAGUGCAAUGGCAUAAGCCAGCUUGACUGCGAGCGUGACGGCGCGAGCAGGUGCGAAAGCAGGUCAUAGUGAUCCGGUGGUUCUGAAUGGAAGGGCCAUCGCUCAACGGAUAAAAGGUACUCCGGGGAUAACAGGCUGAUACCGCCCAAGAGUUCAUAUCGACGGCGGUGUUUGGCACCUCGAUGUCGGCUCAUCACAUCCUGGGGCUGAAGUAGGUCCCAAGGGUAUGGCUGUUCGCCAUUUAAAGUGGUACGCGAGCUGGGUUUAGAACGUCGUGAGACAGUUC